CACGUAGGGCGCAAGCGUUGUCCGGAAUUAUUGGGCGUAAAGAGCUCGUCGGUGGUUUGUUACGUCCGCUGUGAAAUCCUAGGGCUUAACCCUGGGCUUGCAGUGGAUACGGGCAGACUAGAGUGUGGUAGGGGAGACUGGAAUUCCUGGUGUAGCGGUGAAAUGCGCAGAUAUCAGGAGGAACACCGAUGGCGAAGGCAGGUCUCUGGGCCAUAACUGACGCUGAGAAGCGAAAGCAUGGGGAGCGAACAGG
This 253-nucleotide ribosomal RNA is filed under the name uncultured bacterium. RNAcentral describes it as "partial 16S ribosomal RNA". It matches the Rfam family "Bacterial small subunit ribosomal RNA", at positions 524 to 776 of the family's 1533-position model. The record is from RNAcentral.